Non-coding RNA from Phrynosoma platyrhinos (Desert horned lizard), 73 nucleotides. NCBI's taxonomy places the organism in Eukaryota, Metazoa, Chordata, Lepidosauria, Squamata, Phrynosomatidae. The record is from the annotation of a GenBank genome assembly.
AGCUAGUGUGGUGUAGUGGCUUGUGUAUUGGACUGCAACUCUGGAGACCAGGGUUCAAUUCCCAGAUCAGCCA